Molecule: ribosomal RNA, 253 nt
Filed under: uncultured bacterium
Lineage: Bacteria
Description: partial 16S ribosomal RNA
Rfam family: Bacterial small subunit ribosomal RNA
Source: RNAcentral
UACGUAGGUGGCAAGCGUUGUCCGGAUUUACUGGGCGUAAAGCGCCCGCAGGCGGCUUGUUAAGUUCAAGGUGAAAUCUCCCGGCUUAACUGGGAGGGUGCCUCGAAAACUGGCAGGCUUGAGGUGAGGAGAGGGAUGCGGAAUUCCAGGUGUAGCGGUGAAAUGCGUAGGUAUCUGGAGGAACACCAGUGGCGAAGGCGGCAUCCUGGCCUUAUCCUGACGCUCAGGGGCGAAAGCGUGGGGAGCAAACCGG